RNAcentral lists this ribosomal RNA (496 nucleotides) under uncultured bacterium. RNAcentral describes it as "partial 16S ribosomal RNA". It matches the Rfam family "Bacterial small subunit ribosomal RNA", at positions 28 to 507 of the family's 1533-position model. The record is from RNAcentral.
GAUGAACGCUGGCGGCGUGCCUAACACAUGCAAGUCGAGCGAACAGACGAGGAGCUUGCUCCUCUGACGUUAGCGGCGGACGGGUGAGUAACACGUGGAUAACCUACCUAUAAGACUGGGAUCCCUUCAGGAACCCUGAGAUAGUACCGGAUAAUAUAUUGAACCGCAGGGUUCAAUAGUGAAAGACGGUUUUGCUGUCACUUAUACAUGGAUCCUAGCCGCAUUAGCUAGUUGGUAAGGUAAGGCUUACCAAGGCAACGAUUCGUAGCCGACCGGAGAGGUGGAUAGGCCACACGGGAACGGAGCACGGGUCCAGACUCCUACGGGAGGCAGCGUGAGGGAAACUGCCGCAAUGGGCGAAAGCCUGACGAAGCAACGCGGCGGGAUGGAGGAGGGUCUCCGGAUCUAAAACCUCUGUUAUUAGGGAAGAACAAAUGUGUAAGUAACCAUGCACUUCUUGACGGUACCUAAGCAGAAGGCCACGGCUAACUACGUG